GUUUAGUCUUUUAUAAUUUAAUAAAAAGAUAGUUGGCAUUCCACUGCACAUGAUUUCAAACCUAGUUUGAAUUUUAUAAAUACAGUAUACGUUUGUGCGAUGAAUUAGUAUGUAAGCUUUUUCCUCAUUAUUUUCUGAAGGAUAUUAAGAAUUUAUUCUUUAGCUAGUCCUAGAAUUCCGAAGAUCUUACAUUUGCAAUAGAUUGUGAGAGAAUUUUAUGUACACACACAGUUUAAAUUUUAUGUCCUUAAAAUAUUUUCAUAUAUUUUAGAUAAAUGCAGUUGAGCUGUAAAAUAAUUAAGUAACAAAUUUCUUAUUGACACUUCUUUUCAUAGGUUUACUGGUUCACUGUCGAAUUCGGAUUGUGCAAAGAAAAUGACAGGAUCACAGCGUACGGUGCAGGGUUAUUGUCGUCUUAUGGAGAACUUCAGCAUGCUUUCUCAGAGAAACCGCGACUGGUACCUUUUGAACCGGAAGCCACAGCAAUGCAACCAUACCAAGAUCUACAUUAUCAAGAUGUUUACUUCGUCUCUGAAGGAUUCGAAAAUGCCAAGGACAAAAUCAUGAAUUAUGUUAAUAACCACAUACAUCGGCAUUAUGAUAUGAUUUAUGAUCCUUUCACUGAAUCCAUUAUUGAAAUAGAUUCUUGGAAAAAAGCAGAGAAGAUAUCUGAUGACCUUCGAUCAAAAAUCCUAAUUCUGAAUAAUGCUGUUCGACGGCUAAAAUAUAUAUAAUUAUGCAGUAAACUAUGUUGUUCCAAUUUUUAUUCAUCUUGUAAGUUCAUAUAAGGAAAAAAUUAUGUAUCAGUUUUGAUAAAAUAUAUUCAAAUCUAUUUAUAGCAGCUCUAAAAAAUCCAUCAAUUCUGAGAUUCCAGCAUAUAAUUAUGAAAAAUAAUUUUAACUGAUUAUGCCAACUCUAAAGAUGA
This is a long non-coding RNA of Stegodyphus dumicola, 925 nucleotides long. The record is from RefSeq and is a predicted model, not a curated record. Lineage: Eukaryota; Metazoa; Arthropoda; Arachnida; Araneae; Eresidae.